Balaenoptera ricei (Rice's whale) is the source of this 2051-nucleotide long non-coding RNA. RefSeq lists it as uncharacterized. The record is from RefSeq and is a predicted model, not a curated record. NCBI's taxonomy places the organism in Eukaryota, Metazoa, Chordata, Mammalia, Artiodactyla, Balaenopteridae. The transcript is spliced from 10 exons.
GUUAAAGACUUAAACUGAGUGUUCUGGACUUGCAACUUCCACCCACUGACUGGCCAGUGAGUGGGUUUGGACAGAAGUGCUGGGAACAACACAGCAGAACAUCUCAGCAGAAGGACCCACUGGUGACUUGAUGCUUCUCACUCCACAAACAGACAAGGAAGCUGAAGCACAGAGAGGAACCUGCCCAGCAUCACAAAGAGGAGUCAGGAUACAACGUCAGUAAAUCUCAGUCAAGCUCUUAACCCUGGAAAGAUCUGAGUUCUGGAAAGAGGAUGGCUCUGUAGGACGGCUGCACGGGGGGACUCUAGCCCCAGUUAGAUGCUUCAAUACUGUUACAAGCUUUCAUUACAAGAUAAAUUAAAUAAAAGCUCCUCUUUCAAUGGAAGCUGACCAUCUUGCUAAUAAUUUUGCGACUCAGAAUGACACUUCAUCAAAGCUUCUGGUCUGCUCACGUGGAAGGAGCAGUCUUUGAGGACGGGAGACGUCCUCCAGAUGUAAUCAGCUGCGGAUCUGCUCAUUACCAUGCCUGGGACCUGGAGACUAUUAGGGUUUUCCAUUCCCCAAACAUUAUGAGAGCACAUUAUUUUAUAUAAUUGGAAAAAUACAUCAGCUGUGUGAAUACAUUUGGAAUUCUACAAACAAAAUGCCUGGUUCCAGGGAAACGGUGCCCUGAGCAUCCUGACACAGAAGGCGGGACCAAUGCUCUUAAACAAAGGAUCUUUAAUAAAGAAGAUUUAUCAUUCCAAAGGCUUCUGUUCCGACUGUCGGACCCAAGGUGGAGGAGAGAGGAAGAGAUAUUGGAACCCCACCGCCCCACUAGGUGGAGGAAGUUAACUGCAUGCUGCCCACCAGCACAUAGACCCCAGACCAGAUGGAACCAGAAGGGAAAGAGGUGAACGCCCUACCUGCAGCAGUGGCCUGAGAGCAGAGGAAAAGCCGAGCCGAGCCUGCAGAGAGGAGGAGAAGUCUCCCGCCCUGGGGAGACCCCACAGGGUGCCGGGAACACGCCAGGAGAUGCCCGAGGCCUGGCCGCUGUGUGGAGGAUUCGGUGACAAAAUGUCUGGGGACGCCUAGUUCACGCGAGUGACUGGACGGAUCUUGCUACGUGGUGUGAUUCCUCCUUCAAGUCAAGAGACCCCGGCAUGGGUGCCUGGUGACAAGCCCCUCUUCCAGAUUCCACGGGCUUGACCCCAUGCUGGGGGACGGGUGGCGAGGGAGGCCUGGACGGGCCCGGUGUCCUGCACAGGGAAGGAGGCUGAGAUUUGCCUGAGUGGGACCGAGAGUAAGGGACACACGGAGCAGGGGCAGAGGGGCUCCAGCGUCCCUGCCCUGACCCCUGCUGUCACCACGGCAGUGCGGGGGGGCUCCAUUCUGACAGGCUGUCCCUUUUCUCCCAUCCUGAGAGCCGUCCCAGAACCCUCCCUACGGGGGCCAGAGAGAACUGUCCCUCCCCACCAGGCCCUUCUGGAAAGGGGGGCAGGCGUCUUGCACACUCUGCCCCCAGGGAGAUGUCAGUAGAAGGUAGGAUGGAGGACCCUCCCUGGGGCUGGGGAGGCAGGCUUGGGGACCGGGCUGCAGAGGAAUCACCGGGAAUGAUCCAGAAGGAAGGGAAGUCACCGCCCACUGCCUGCACCCUUUUUGGUGUGGUUUUGCUGUUUCUUGGCUGUUUCUUUUGGCCUCUCAGCGUCAACAUCGGUGUAACCUGACGUCCCCCCAGAGAUUCCCACUGUGGCUCUGGCUGGCGUGUUGGCGUGGUUCCCACCUCCACUCCCAACCUUGGCCACCCACAGAUGCUCGUGGGGUCUCGGAGAGAGGUUGGAGCACCUGACAGGCUGGCGGAAUGCCCAGGACAGAAAAGGUGCCACGUCCCCAGGAAUGCUGACCAAGGAGCCCUGGGCAGAAGCCGUUCUGGGUGACCAGAGGAGGUGGGACCAGACGGCCGGUGGCCCCAGGGUCCGAGGUCAGGGGCCAGCGUUUCCUUCUGUAUCAAAUGUAUCAGGAUCUUACCUUCCCAGCUUCGGCACAAAAGAAAAAUAAACAAACAGACCACA